This 77-nucleotide transfer RNA is filed under the name Flavonifractor plautii 1_3_50AFAA. RNAcentral describes it as "tRNA-Ala". It matches the Rfam family "tRNA". From Rfam's summary of the family: Transfer RNA (tRNA) molecules are approximately 80 nucleotides in length. Lineage: Bacteria; Bacillati; Bacillota; Clostridia; Eubacteriales; Oscillospiraceae. The record is from RNAcentral.
GGGCCUAUAGCUCAGCUGGGGAGAGCGUACGGUUCGCAUCCGUAAGGUCGUCGGUUCGAUCCCGAUUAGGUCCACCA